UUUUAAAAGACCUUUUUCGGAAGGUAUGCUUAAAGAGGGGCUUGCGUCACAUUAGUUAGUUGGUAGGGUAAAGGCCUACCAAGACGAUGAUGUGUAGCUGGACUGAGAGGUUGAACAGCCACAUUGGGACUGAGACACGGCCCAAACUCCUACGGGAGGCAGCAGUAGGGAAUUUUCGGCAAUGGAGGAAACUCUGACCGAGCAACGCCGCGUGAACGACGAAGUACUUCGGUAUGUAAAGUUCUUUUAUUGAAGAAGAAACAAUAGUGGAAAAACUAUCUUGACGUUAUUCAAUGAAUAAGCCCCGGCUAACUAUGUGCCAGCAGCCGCGGUAAUACAUAGGGGGCGAGCGUUAUCCGGAAUUAUUGGGCGUAAAGGGUGCGUAGGCGGUUUAAUAAGUCUCUAGUUUAAUUUCAACGCUUAACGUUGUCCUGCUAGAGAAACUGUUUAACUAGAGUGAGAUAGAGGUAAGCGGAAUUCCAUGUGUAGCGGUAAAAUGUGUAAAUAUAUGGAGGAACACCAGAGGCGUAGGCGGCUUACUGGGUCUUUACUGACGCUGAUGCACGAAAGCGUGGGGAGCAAACAGGAUUAGAUACCCUGGUAGUCCACGCCGUAAACUAUGAGUACUAAGUGUCGGGGUUAAACUCGGUACUGAAGUUAACACAUUAAGUACUCCGCCUGAGUAGUACGUACGCAAGUAUGAAACUUAAAGGAAUUGACGGGAUCCCGCACAAGCGGUGGAUCAUGUUGUUUAAUUCGAAGAUACACGAAAAACCUUACCAGGUCUUGACAUACUCUGCAAAGCUAUAGAAAUAUAGUGGAGGUUAUCAGGGAUACAGGUGGUGCAUGGUUGUCGUCAGCUCGUGUCGUGAGAUGUUAGGUUAAGUUCUAAAACGAGCGCAACCCCUGUCGUUAAUUGCCAGCACGUUAUGGUGGGGACUUUAGCGAGACUGCCAAUGAAAAAUUGGAGGAAGGUGGGGAUUACGUCAAAUCAUCAUGCCCCUUAUGAUCUGGGCUACAAACGUGAUACAAUGGCUAUUACAAAGAGUAGCUGAAACGCGAGUUUUCGGCAAAUCUCAAAAAAAUAGUCUCAGUUCGGAUUGAAGUCUGCAACUCGACUUCAUGAAGUUGGAAUCGCUAGUAAUCGCGAAUCAGCAUGUCGCGGUGAAUACGUUCUCGGGGUUUGUACACACCGCCCGUCAAACCACGAAAGUGGACAAUACCCGAAAGCGACAGCCUAACUGCGUAAGCAGAGGGAAUCGUCUAAGGUAGGGUCGAUGAUUGGGGUUAAGUCGUAACAAGGUAUCCCUACCGGAAGGUGGGGAUGGAUCACCUCCUUUCUA
This 1343-nucleotide ribosomal RNA is filed under the name Coconut palm phytoplasma. RNAcentral describes it as "bacterial SSU rRNA". It matches the Rfam family "Bacterial small subunit ribosomal RNA", at positions 199 to 1533 of the family's 1533-position model. The record is from RNAcentral. Lineage: Bacteria; Bacillati; Mycoplasmatota; Mollicutes; Acholeplasmatales; Acholeplasmataceae.